CGACUCUCGGCAACGGAUAUCUCGGCUCUCGCAUCGAUGAAAGAACGUAGCGAAAUGCGAUACUUGGUGUGAAUUGCAGAAUCCCGUGAACCAUCGAGUCUUUGAACGCAAGUUGCGCCCUAGGCCAUCGGGCCGAGGGCACGUCUGCCUGGGCGUCACGCAUCGCGUCGCCCUCCCUCGAACACCAUUGUGGCGGUCGAGUGUGGAGCGGAGAUUGGCCCCCCAUUCCCCCGUUGGGGUGUGGUCGGCCUAAAAGGAAUGGCCCCCGUGUGACGAGCACCACGACGAGAGGUGGUUGUAUCCAACUCUGCUAGAYGUCACGUGCUUCGUCUCCGUGGGCUGUCUAUGGAACCCUCUGAUCAUACGACUGCGACCCCA
RNAcentral lists this unclassified non-coding RNA (378 nucleotides) under Leucadendron sp. JT-2014b. Its description in RNAcentral is "sequence contains ITS1, 5.8S rRNA gene and ITS2". The stretch from base 2 to 158 matches the Rfam family "5.8S ribosomal RNA". Lineage: Eukaryota; Viridiplantae; Streptophyta; Magnoliopsida; Proteales; Proteaceae. The record is from RNAcentral.